AACGAACGCCGGCGGCCUUGCUAACCCAAGCAAGUCGCACGGGGCCCUUGGGGUCCGUGGCGCACGGGUGUGUUAAGCCAGGGGACCCGCCCCUACGGUUGGGAUAAUCUCCCUAAAAGGGUGCCAAUACCCGCUAAUUGCCUCCGGCCAAAAAUUUAUCGCCCUUGGGUGGGUUCGCGUUGGAUUCGCUAGUUGGUAGGGUAAAAGCCUUUCAACGCCACGAUCCAUAGCUGAUCUGAGAGGAUGAUCAGCCACACUGGGACUGAGACACGGCCCAGACUCCUACGGGAGGCAGCAGUGGGGAAUAUUGGACAAUGGGCGAAAGCCUGAUCCAGCAAUGCCGCGUGAGUGAUGAAGGCCUUAGGGUUGUAAAGCUCUUUUACCCGGGAUGAUAAUGACAGUACCGGGAGAAUAAGCUCCGGCUAACUCCGUG
RNAcentral lists this ribosomal RNA (433 nucleotides) under uncultured bacterium. RNAcentral describes it as "partial 16S ribosomal RNA". It matches the Rfam family "Bacterial small subunit ribosomal RNA", at positions 29 to 507 of the family's 1533-position model. The record is from RNAcentral.